This 23-nucleotide small nuclear RNA is filed under the name Arabidopsis thaliana (thale cress). Its description in RNAcentral is "snRNA_11752". The record is from RNAcentral. Lineage: Eukaryota; Viridiplantae; Streptophyta; Magnoliopsida; Brassicales; Brassicaceae.
CGGAAACAAAUUUAGAUUUUAGA